This is a small nuclear RNA of Rattus norvegicus (Norway rat), 106 nucleotides long. Lineage: Eukaryota; Metazoa; Chordata; Mammalia; Rodentia; Muridae. The record is from Ensembl.
UCUCUCACCUCAGCAGCACAUGCACUAAGUUGCAGGGAUACAGAGAAGAUUAGCAUAGCCCUUGUACAAGGAUGGCAUGCAAAUGCAUGAAACAUUAUAUACUAUU